This 468-nucleotide ribosomal RNA is filed under the name uncultured bacterium. RNAcentral's name for it is "bacterial SSU rRNA". It matches the Rfam family "Bacterial small subunit ribosomal RNA", at positions 335 to 797 of the family's 1533-position model. The record is from RNAcentral.
ACUCCUACGGGAGGCAGCAGUGAGGAAUAUUGGUCAAUGGAGGGAACUCUGAACCAGCCAUCCCGCGUGUAGGAAGACGGCCUUAUGGGUUGUAAACUACUUUUAUACAGAAGAAACGUACCCUCGUGAGGGUGCCUGACGGUACUGUAGGAAUAAGCACCGGCUAACUCCGUGCCAGCAGCCGCGGUAAUACGGAGGGGUGCGAGCGUUAUCCGGAUUUAUUGGGGUUUAAAGGGUCCGUAGGCGGAUUAAUAAGUCAGUGGUGAAAUCCCAUCGCUUAACGAUGGAACUGCCAUUGAUACUGUUAGUCUUGAAUGAGGGUGCAGUGGUUGGAAUGUGUAGUGUAGCGGUGAAAUGCAUAGAUAUUACACAGAACACCGAUUGCGAAGGCAGAUCACUAACCCUAAAUUGACGCUGAGGGACGAAAGCGUGGGGAGCGAACAGGAUUAGAUACCCUGGUAGCGACUG